This 1379-nucleotide long non-coding RNA is filed under the name Cairina moschata (Muscovy duck). RNAcentral describes it as "domestica (muscovy Duck (domestic type)) lncRNA (ENSCMMG00000000279.1)". The record is from RNAcentral. Lineage: Eukaryota; Metazoa; Chordata; Aves; Anseriformes; Anatidae.
UAUCCAAAGUUUCUCAUUUAUAGGCAGGAGCAGAUAAGCUGACUUGUAUCUUUCAGUCCCCAGCACUUCAACAUUACACUUCCCCAUGCACACACCAGUGAGACUCAGGCAUUGGCACACAGAAGAGACUUUAACCUUUGUCCCAGGGGUGAUAGAAAACCUUUCAAAUCGCCCGUGCUGGUCAUACAAACUAGCAGCAUCCUGUGCCUGCUCUUAGCAAAAUCUCUCACCUUCCUUCCUCAUGAUGCUGUAUAGGACCCUUUGGCUGCCACAGCAUCCAAAUGGGUUUGCAGGUAGCAGUGGGCUAUUGUAAUUUGGCCAAAUUUUUGUGCCAUUGUGGCCCUCUGAUCACUCUGUGUGUAAUCAAACCAUGAUAUGACCCUAUUUGAUCAGCCAAAUAAGAGGAUUGGUGGGGUGUCUCCAGUGCAGCAUGCUCAGACACUGCCUUGUGAACAUCAUUUGAAGGAGUGCAGCCUUUCUUCUUCGGGCAGUUAAGUACCCGGCGGUGUCACCACUGUGCAUACAGUGGUGGAUACAGCCCUACCUUUCUGAUCCACCAAAGCCUUUAGUGAACAGGUAGCAUCAUUUUUUCUAGGUAUAGCCUUGUGCCUUUGUAGGAGGAGAGAACGUAUGGCUAUACGCAGCCCAAUAGCUCAGAUAUUGAGUUAUUUCAGCCUCAUUACACACACUUACCCCACAGAGGGUAAGGCACAGUCACUCCACAUAUCUCCACCUCAGAAGCUCUGAUAGUUGUCUUGCAGUACCAGUCUGCCCUAACACUGGCUGCUGGGAGUCCAGAAGAUCCUGUUUCCAAAGAGGACUAACAACACAGCUGUGGGUGUCUCCUCCCUCAUUUGUGUAUCGCGGCAAUGCAGGGUGAAGAGAGCUGCUCAGACUGCUUGUUGAAAGCCACCUUCAUGACAAGCCUUUGUUGGUCCCUUGCUGCCAUUGCAUGCUAUCGGCCAUUCUGCUGCUCAGGAACAGCACCAGGAGAUCCGUGCCCUCUUCGCAGUCCAUUUCUUGAACAACUGUGUGUCAUCAGCCGACUGCUCAGGAAACCAUGCGGCUGGGCAGGAAGCACCAGGAAGAGCUCAACCUCCCUGAACUCUUUGAGGGCACAAAAUGAAUCAACUUGCCCGCGUCUGGAGCCAGUUCUCCGAGCUCCUGCUGUGGAGGAGAAGAGAAGCCGUGCUCCUGGAGACACCCCAGCUCCUGCCUGGCACCGAGAGCUGUGCAAGGAGGUUCAAUGCAGCAGCCAUCACCAGAUGGUGCUGCUGCAUGCAGCCUCGCAAGGUCACCCUGUGCAGGGAUGUUUUGUUUCUUGGAAGAAAACACUGAACUGGGGAUGUUUCUCCACUGCUUGGGUGUCUGGAGAGUAG